RNAcentral lists this ribosomal RNA (434 nucleotides) under uncultured bacterium. RNAcentral describes it as "partial 16S ribosomal RNA". It matches the Rfam family "Bacterial small subunit ribosomal RNA", at positions 30 to 506 of the family's 1533-position model. The record is from RNAcentral.
AGCGAACGCUGGCGGCAGGCUUAAAACAUGCAAGUCGAGCGGGCAUCUUCGGAUGUCAGCGGCAGACGGGUGAGUAACACGUGGGAACGUACCCUUCGGUUCGGAACAACUCUGGGAAACUGGAGCUAAUACCGGAUACGCCCUUAUGGGGAAAGGUUUACUGCCGAAGGAUCGGCCCGCGUGUGAUUAGCCAGUUGGGGGGGGAACGGCCUACCAAGGCGACGAUCAGUAGCUGGUCUGAGAGGAGGAUCAGCCACCCUGGGACUGAGACACGGCCCGGACCCCUACGGGAGGCGGGAGGGGGGAAUAUUGGACAAGGGGCGCAAGCCUGACCCAGCCAUGCCGGGUGGGUGAUGAAGGCCUUAGGGUUGUAAAGCUCUUUUGCCCGGGACGAUAAUGACGGUACCGGAAAAAAAAGCCCCGGCUAACUUCGU